CUCUACUGGUCUGGCUCACUCAUGACCUAUAAUAUUAGGGGAUCAAUUUCAAAGGCUCUUGAACAGGAAAACACUUACAUUGGCCUUGGAAGAAUCGUCUUUUCUGGGUGCAAUUUCCUCCUGCUUGGAGCUGGAAGGCGGCUUCCCUGUGGUCACUGCUUGCAGAACAGCGACCCCUGGUGGACUAAGGAGAAGUUCGCCUGUCCAACCGCAGACAGGAAAUGAAGAUUGAAACACGUCUGUGCCACGAAGUUUGCUGGCGAAAUUAAUUCUCUCUUGUCAGUUGGAUGUCAGUCUGAACUCAAGACCACCGCUGUUAGUAGGACAGAGUUGGAAUUGGGGAUAAGAUCUUCACAUGUAGUUAUUUUUUUAUCAUAAAUAUUUCAUUUUCACAGUACGAACAUAAAUAAUUAAAACUAAAGUCACCAGUGUCUACAACCUAGAGGUAAUUAUUAAUGUAUCCUUAAUAUUGAUAGCCAUUUAAUAAUAGAGUCCAUAAAUGUAGUCUUUUAUGUAUUAUUUUUCUCAUAUGUGUCAUGAAUAUUCUAUAUUGCUAAGAGUAACUAUAUAUCAUCAUUUUUAAUGGCUGCAUAGAAUUCUGUUGUGUGGCAAUUAAAUUAUUUAAUCAAUCUCUUGUCAACACAAUUGCUAAUUUUUCACUAUUAAAUUCAAUACUAUUUUUGAUACAUGUGAAAAAUUACUUUUCUGAAAAUUCUUACCAAUUUAUAAUUCCACAGGUAGCAUAUGAGACAACAAACUUACCCAUUCUCCUA
Sus scrofa (pig) is the source of this 773-nucleotide non-coding RNA. Lineage: Eukaryota; Metazoa; Chordata; Mammalia; Artiodactyla; Suidae. The record is from RefSeq and is a predicted model, not a curated record.